GAUGAACGCUGGCGGCGUGCCUAAUACAUGCAAGUCGAGCGAACAGAUGAGGAGCUUGCUCCUCUGAUGUUAGCGGCGGACGGGUGAGUAACACGUGGAUAACCUACCUAUAAGACUGGGAUAACUUCGGGAAACCGGAGCUAAUACCGGAUAAUAUAUUGAACCGCAUGGUUCAAUAGUGAAAGACGGUUUUGCUGUCACUUAUAGAUGGAUCCGCGCUGCAUUAGCUAGUUGGUAAGGUAACGGCUUACCAAGGCAACGAUGCGUAGCCGACCUGAGAGGGUGAUCGGCCACACUGGAACUGAGACACGGUCCAGACUCCUACGGGAGGCAGCAGUAGGGAAUCUUCCGCAAUGGGCGAAAGCCUGACGGAGCAACGCCGCGUGAGUGAUGAAGGUCUUCGGAUCGUAAAACUCUGUUAUUAGGGAAGAACAAAUGUGUAAGUAACUAUGCACGUCUUGACGGUACCUAAUCAGAAAGCCACGGCUAACUACGUG
RNAcentral lists this ribosomal RNA (497 nucleotides) under uncultured bacterium. RNAcentral describes it as "partial 16S ribosomal RNA". It matches the Rfam family "Bacterial small subunit ribosomal RNA", at positions 28 to 507 of the family's 1533-position model. The record is from RNAcentral.